UCGACGGUAACGGAAGCAGCUUGCUGCUUCGCUGACGAGUGGCGGACGGGUGAGUAAUGUCUGGGAAACUGCCUGAUGGAGGGGGAUAACUACUGGAAACGGUGGCUAAUACCGCAUAACGUCGCAAGACCAAAGAGGGGGACCUUCGGGCCUCUUGCCAUCAGAUGUGCCCAGAUGGGAUUAGCUUGUUGGUGAGGUAACGGCUCACCAAGGCGACGAUCCCUAGCUGGUCUGAGAGGAUGACCAGCCACACUGGAACUGAGACACGGUCCAGACUCCUACGGGAGGCAGCAGUGGGGAAUAUUGCACAAUGGGCGCAAGCCUGAUGCAGCCAUGCCGCGUGUAUGAAGAAGGCCUUCGGGUUGUAAAGUACUUUCAGCGGGGAGGAAGGUGUUGUGGUUAAUAACCGCAGCAAUUGACGUUACCCGCAGAAGAAGCACCGGCUAACUCCGUGCCAGCAGCCGCGGUAAUACGGAGGGUGCAAGCGUUAAUCGGAAUUACUGGGCGUAAAGCGCACGCAGGCGGUCUGUCAAGUCGGAUGUGAAAUCCCCGGGCUCAACCUGGGAACUGCAUUCGAAACUGGCAGGCUUG
RNAcentral lists this ribosomal RNA (591 nucleotides) under uncultured bacterium. Its description in RNAcentral is "bacterial SSU rRNA". It matches the Rfam family "Bacterial small subunit ribosomal RNA", at positions 62 to 644 of the family's 1533-position model. The record is from RNAcentral.